GCAGGGGCGGACCCCGGGGGGGGGGGGGGGGCUGCAGCCCCCCGAGAGCUCGAUUUUGCCUCUAAAAUACUGUAGACAAAACCUCAAAUCACUAUGAAUUUCUAGCUCUAGCCCUUAAUCUCUACUAUUUAGCUCCCCCUCGAGGUGUUCAUCUUUGUUCCGCCCCUGGGUGGAGGUGAUGGACAUGGGUGACGAGGUGCCUAGGUGGUGCCGCUGGUCAGGUGGUGGAGGAGGGCAGUUUGGCAGUGCUAGGAUAGGGACAAGGACGGUGGUGGUGGGAGGCAGCAGCAAGAGGGGAAGGAAAAGGUAGCUGCCGCGACGGGCUAGGGUUCUGCUGGAGCUUCACAUCGGCUGAUCGGCUCCGCUGGCAUGAAGCUCUAAUGAGACCAUAACCCGCCGUGGCGAGGGGAGUUAAAGAGCGGCAGCAAGGAUAAGGGAGCUCAAUGGAUGGAGAAGAAAACGAGAGCAAGAAGAUGCAAUCGCGAGGUAGAUUAUGGAACGUGGGACAUUGGAUGCCGACCUAACAACCAAAAAAAUAUGAGCCAUUAUUCCCUCUUUUCCAUUACAUAAACCCCAUGGAAACAAUAACACAGUUGAACACGAGUAGGCUCUGAAUUUGCUCGUCAUGACGCACGAACAAGUGAGCGGCGGAAUCCGUACUUUAGCAGCUUGGUGAGAGGAGGGAGUGGGCGAGAGGCAGAGGCGUCUUGUGGGGCGUGGAGUAAUUGUGGACACCAUGACUCGUGAGCGAGCUG
Molecule: long non-coding RNA, 755 nt
Filed under: Setaria italica (foxtail millet)
Lineage: Eukaryota; Viridiplantae; Streptophyta; Magnoliopsida; Poales; Poaceae
Description: long non-coding RNA (SITA_LNC003101)
Source: RNAcentral